GCCGCCGCACGCCCAUUGUACUUCAUCAGGUGCUCUGGUGAUAAUGGUUCCAGGCGCUUGUUGGAGUACACUUACCGUGUCGGCGGU
RNAcentral lists this microRNA precursor (87 nucleotides) under Heliconius melpomene (postman butterfly). RNAcentral describes it as "microRNA hme-mir-305 precursor". Its record names the gene hme-mir-305. The stretch from base 8 to 79 matches the Rfam family "mir-305 microRNA precursor family". The record is from miRBase by way of RNAcentral. Lineage: Eukaryota; Metazoa; Arthropoda; Insecta; Lepidoptera; Nymphalidae.